RNAcentral lists this small nucleolar RNA (146 nucleotides) under Propithecus coquereli (Coquerel's sifaka). Its description in RNAcentral is "Small nucleolar RNA SNORA48 (ENSPCOG00000000112.1)". It matches the Rfam family "Small nucleolar RNA SNORA48". From Rfam's summary of the family: The snoRNA ACA 48 has been identified to guide pseudouridylation of the residue U3797 in the 28S rRNA subunit. Its host gene EIF4A1 (eukaryotic translation initiation factor 4A1) is shared with U67 and snoRNA mgU6-77 The record is from Rfam by way of RNAcentral. Lineage: Eukaryota; Metazoa; Chordata; Mammalia; Primates; Indriidae.
UGUCCCCUGGCAAUGAGCAAAGAGACACCUCAUUGGUGGUGUUGCUCUUAUAUCAGUCAGGGGCAGAGCAGAUGGACAGUCCUUUGUUUAGCCUAGCUUGUUGCCUGGAUUGGCAGCCAGAGAUGUUUCAUGCCUGGUGCACACCA